UAANAACCUGGAAACAGAUGCUAAUACCGGAUAACAACACUAGACGCAUGUCUAGAGUUUAAAAGAUGGUUCUGCUAUCACUCUUGGAUGGACCUGCGGUGCAUUAGCUAGUUGGUAAGGUAACGGCUUACCAAGGCAAUGAUGCAUAGCCGAGUUGAGAGACUGAUCGGCCACAUUGGGACUGAGACACGGUCCAAACUCCUACGGGAGGCAGCAGGC
RNAcentral lists this ribosomal RNA (219 nucleotides) under uncultured bacterium. RNAcentral's name for it is "partial 16S ribosomal RNA". It matches the Rfam family "Bacterial small subunit ribosomal RNA", at positions 143 to 354 of the family's 1533-position model. The record is from RNAcentral.